RNAcentral lists this ribosomal RNA (121 nucleotides) under Gammaproteobacteria bacterium. RNAcentral's name for it is "partial 16S ribosomal RNA". It matches the Rfam family "Bacterial small subunit ribosomal RNA", at positions 1 to 118 of the family's 1533-position model. Lineage: Bacteria; Pseudomonadati; Pseudomonadota; Gammaproteobacteria. The record is from RNAcentral.
UAACUGAAGAGUUUGAUCCUGGCUCAGAUUGAACGCUGGCGGCGUGCCUAACACAUGCAAGUCGAGCGGUAACAGGUGUAGCAAUACAUGCUGACGAGCGGCGAACGGGUGAGUAAUGCUU